Non-coding RNA from Monodelphis domestica (gray short-tailed opossum), 613 nucleotides. Lineage: Eukaryota; Metazoa; Chordata; Mammalia; Didelphimorphia; Didelphidae. The record is from RefSeq and is a predicted model, not a curated record.
AAGGGGCGCUCACAGCUCCGGACAAUUCUGUUCUGGACGAAGGCAGGCGUGUUAUUCAAGCCUGAUUGGGCCUCCGCACGAGACGCCAUGAAAUGGGAGGCACGAGGAAGUACGUAAUACGUCCUCGACCCGGAAAUAAAGAGAAAGGGUUAAGUCCUACCGCCUGGGCGGAAGUACUCUCACUCCACGGCAAGCUUUCUUUUGACUUGCUAACCGUUUCUCUCCCUCUUUAGCCUGCGAGCAGUUGGAGACUUCGCUGAGCGGCGUCCUCCUUUAAAACUCGGAUCUCGUUGCCUCUGGAACCCGUGUUGUCCUGUUUUUUGGCUACCCUGCUGAGACAUCGCCAUGUCUUCCCACAAGACUUUCAGAAUCAAGAGGUUCCUUGCAAAGAAACAGAAACAAAAUCGUCCGAUUCCUCAGUGGAUUCGCAUGAAAACUGGCAAUAAGAUCAGGUACAACUCCAAGAGGAGACACUGGAGAAGAACCAAGCUGGGCUUAUAAAGAACUGACAUCAUAAUGAUUUGUUCUGUACCAAGUCCAAAACCUCUUGCCAUGUCACCACCUUUGAUUCUGGAAUUUCCAAUAGUGCAGGCAUAAAGAAAUUUAGCAUUCA